CCUACGGGAGGCAGCAGUGGGGGAUAUUGCACAAUGGGGGGAACCCUGAUGCAGCGAUGCCGCGUGGGUGAAGGAGUAUUUCGGUAUGUAAAGCCCUAUCGGCAGGGAAGAAAUUGGACGGUACCUGACUAAGAAGCCCCGGCUAACUACGUGCCAGCAGUCGCGGUAAUACGUAGGGGGCAAGCGUUAUCCGGAUUCACUGGGUGUAAAGGGAGCGUAGACGGCCAGGCAAGCCUGGAGUGAAAGCCCGGGGCCCAACCCCGGGACUGCUCUGGGAACUGUCCGGCUGGAGUGCGGGUGGGGCAGGCGGAAUUCGUGGUGUAGCGGUGAAAUGCGUAGAUAUCAGGAGGAACACCGGCGGCGAAGGCGGCCUGCUGGACCGCAACUGACGCUCAUGCACGAAAGUGUGGGUAUCGAACAGGAUUAGAUACCCUAGUAGUC
RNAcentral lists this ribosomal RNA (441 nucleotides) under uncultured bacterium. RNAcentral describes it as "partial 16S ribosomal RNA". It matches the Rfam family "Bacterial small subunit ribosomal RNA", at positions 338 to 795 of the family's 1533-position model. The record is from RNAcentral.